GAACGUAUGGCUUAAUGGCAGAGCCCUUGUACGGAUUCCAAUUGGCGCGGGUUCGAGUCCCGCUAUGUUUA
Molecule: transfer RNA, 71 nt
Filed under: Heliconius melpomene (postman butterfly)
Lineage: Eukaryota; Metazoa; Arthropoda; Insecta; Lepidoptera; Nymphalidae
Description: tRNA HMEL004033
Rfam family: tRNA
About the family: Transfer RNA (tRNA) molecules are approximately 80 nucleotides in length.
Source: RNAcentral